This 253-nucleotide ribosomal RNA is filed under the name uncultured bacterium. Its description in RNAcentral is "partial 16S ribosomal RNA". It matches the Rfam family "Bacterial small subunit ribosomal RNA", at positions 524 to 776 of the family's 1533-position model. The record is from RNAcentral.
UACGUAGGGUGCGAGCGUUGCCCGGAUUUAUUGGGCGUAAAGGGCGCGUAGGCGGCUUGGCACGUCCGUUGUGAAAUCGCCCGGCUCAACUGGGCGGGGUCAGCGGAUACGGUUGAGCUUGAGCAAGCUAGGGGGUAAUGGAAUUCCCGGUGUAGUGGUGGAAUGCGUAGAUAUCGGGAGGAACACCAGUGGCGAAGGCGGUUACCUGGGGCUUUGCUGACGCUGAUGCGCGAAAGCGUGGGGAGCGAUCCGG